Molecule: ribosomal RNA, 1438 nt
Filed under: uncultured organism
Description: SSU rRNA
Rfam family: Bacterial small subunit ribosomal RNA
Source: RNAcentral
UAUCUACAGGCUUAACACAUGCAAGUCGAGGGGCAUCAGGAAGAAAGCUUGCUUUCUUUGCUGGCGACCGGCGCACGGGUGAGUAACACGUAUCCAACCUGCCCUUUACUCGGGGAUAGCCUUUCGAAAGAAAGAUUAAUACCCGAUGGCAUAAUGAUUCCGCAUGGUUUCAUUAUUAAAGGAUUCCGGUAAAGGAUGGGGAUGCGUUCCAUUAGGUUGUUGGUGAGGUAACGGCUCACCAAGCCUUCGAUGGAUAGGGGUUCUGAGAGGAAGGUCCCCCACAUUGGAACUGAGACACGGUCCAAACUCCUACGGGAGGCAGCAGUGAGGAAUAUUGGUCAAUGGGCGCUAGCCUGAACCAGCCAAGUAGCGUGAAGGAUGAAGGCUCUAUGGGUCGUAAACUUCUUUUAUAUAAGAAUAAAGUGCAGUAUGUAUACUGUUUUGUAUGUAUUAUAUGAAUAAGGAUCGGCUAACUCCGUGCCAGCAGCCGCGGUAAUACGGAGGAUCCGAGCGUUAUCCGGAUUUAUUGGGUUUAAAGGGAGCGUAGGUGGACUGGUAAGUCAGUUGUGAAAGUUUGCGGCUCAACCGUAAAAUUGCAGUUGAUACUGUCAGUCUUGAGUACAGUAGAGGUGGGCGGAAUUCGUGGUGUAGCGGUGAAAUGCUUAGAUAUCACGAAGAACUCCGAUUGCGAAGGCAGCUCACUGGACUGCAACUGACACUGAUGCUCGAAAGUGUGGGUAUCAAACAGGAUUAGAUACCCUGGUAGUCCACACAGUAAACGAUGAAUACUCGCUGUUUGCGAUAUACAGUAAGCGGCCAAGCGAAAGCAUUAAGUAUUCCACCUGGGGAGUACGCCGGCAACGGUGAAACUCAAAGGAAUUGACGGGGGCCCGCACAAGCGGAGGAACAUGUGGUUUAAUUCGAUGAUACGCGAGGAACCUUACCCGGGCUUAAAUUGCAGUGGAAUGAUGUGGAAACAUGUCAGUGAGCAAUCACCGCUGUGAAGGUGCUGCAUGGUUGUCGUCAGCUCGUGCCGUGAGGUGUCGGCUUAAGUGCCAUAACGAGCGCAACCCUUAUCUUUAGUUACUAACAGGUUAUGCUGAGGACUCUAGAGAGACUGCCGUCGUAAGAUGUGAGGAAGGUGGGGAUGACGUCAAAUCAGCACGGCCCUUACGUCCGGGGCUACACACGUGUUACAAUGGGGGGUACAGAAGGCAGCUAGCGGGUGACCGUAUGCUAAUCCCAAAAGCCUCUCUCAGUUCGGAUCGAAGUCUGCAACCCGACUUCGUGAAGCUGGAUUCGCUAGUAAUCGCGCAUCAGCCACGGCGCGGUGAAUACGUUCCCGGGCCUUGUACACACCGCCCGUCAAGCCAUGGGAGCCGGGGGUACCUGAAGUACGUAACCGCAAGGAUCGUCCUAGGGUAAAACUGGUGACUGG